UACGUAGGUGGCAAGCGUUGUCCGGAAUUAUUGGGCGUAAAGCGCGCGCAGGCGGUUCCUUAAGUCUGAUGUGAAAGUCCACGGCUCAACCGUGGAGGGUCAUUGGAAACUGGGGGACUUGAGUGCAGAAGAGGAGAGCGGAAUUCCACGUGUAGCGGUGAAAUGCGUAGAGAUGUGGAGGAACACCAGUGGCGAAGGCGGCUCUCUGGUCUGUAACUGACGCUGAGGCGCGAAAGCGUGGGGAGCAAACAGG
RNAcentral lists this ribosomal RNA (253 nucleotides) under uncultured bacterium. Its description in RNAcentral is "partial 16S ribosomal RNA". It matches the Rfam family "Bacterial small subunit ribosomal RNA", at positions 524 to 776 of the family's 1533-position model. The record is from RNAcentral.